UACGGGGGGGGCAAGCGUUGUUCGGAAUUACUGGGCGUAAAGGGGACGUAGGCGGCCAACUAAGUCCGACGUGAAAUCCCAAGGCUUAACCUUGGAACUGCGUCGGAUACUGGAUGGCUUGAAUUCGGGAGAGGGAUGCAGAAUUCCAGGUGUAGCGGUGAAAUGCGUAGAUAUCUGGAGGAAUACCGGUGGCGAAGGCGGCAUCCUGGACCGACAUUGACGCUGAAAGCCGAAAGCUAGGGGAGCAAACAGG
Molecule: ribosomal RNA, 253 nt
Filed under: uncultured bacterium
Lineage: Bacteria
Description: partial 16S ribosomal RNA
Rfam family: Bacterial small subunit ribosomal RNA
Source: RNAcentral